AGGGGUAUAGCUCAGCGGUAGAGCACGUACUUGGCAUUUAUCAGGUCCUGGGUUCAAUCCCCAAUGCCUCCA
RNAcentral lists this transfer RNA (72 nucleotides) under Camelus bactrianus (Bactrian camel). It matches the Rfam family "tRNA". From Rfam's summary of the family: Transfer RNA (tRNA) molecules are approximately 80 nucleotides in length. Their secondary structure includes four short double-helical elements and three loops (D, anti-codon, and T loops). Further hydrogen bonds mediate the characteristic L-shaped molecular structure. tRNAs have two regions of fundamental functional importance: the anti-codon, which is responsible for specific mRNA codon recognition, and the 3' end, to which the tRNAs corresponding amino acid is attached (by aminoacyl-tRNA synthetases). tRNAs cope with the degeneracy of the genetic code in two manners: having more than one tRNA (with a specific anti-codon) for a particular amino acid; and 'wobble' base-pairing, i.e. permitting non-standard base-pairing at the 3rd anti-codon position. Lineage: Eukaryota; Metazoa; Chordata; Mammalia; Artiodactyla; Camelidae. RNAcentral also lists the same sequence under 1 other name. The record is from Rfam by way of RNAcentral.